UGAGGCGGCCAGACUUGGAACACUCAGGAAUACAGACAGACGUAGGAAUUGCUUAAAAACAAGAAGUUCUCCCACCCUUGUUGGAGCGAAUGCGCGAGUCUGACAGUGAACCUUUUGGGAAAGAGCCAGCAUUGUAACCGUGCUCGGUGACUUCUCUGGCUUUAUAGGGAACAGAUGUGAGGAUAGCAAGGGGCGCACACGUGAAAUGCCUGGCAGGUACCCCUUUGUGGCUCUACUUACUUCUUGCCAUUCCUCUGCCCUCCAAGUGUAGAGGGGACACCGUGGGCCUUGGCAGUCGCGUUCCGACUCCGGUCUGGUGUAUGGGUUGCACUCGGUCUCUCUGGCUAUUUUGUGUGUUCCGAUCUGACAGCCCACAUGCCUCUGCUGUACGCCUCGGCCACAGGACACAGAGCACUAAGAAGACAGAGAACAUAAAUCUAUGCCAGAGAGGAGAACCAUAUGUUCACAUCAAAGCUAGCUGAACAGAAGAAAAUAUUUUGGAUCAACAUAGCUACUAUUGUUUGGGCUCAAUUGUAUUAAUUGGAUUGAAUGAGUUUGUGACCCACAAGAAACCAGACUUUUAAAGUCAUUAUGUCCUGGGUGUAAUGGGAGGAUUCCUGAACACAAGUGAUGACCCUAUCUAUAGAGAAUGGCCAUUUAAUGCUCAUUAGAGCUACAUGAAUAAUAUUUCCCAUUGAUUACACUGGAAAAGAAUGUACUGUAACAUGAUAGAGUUACCCCAUAAAUGAUGGACAUGUUCAAAUAUUAUCAUCAUCAAUAAACAACAACCAAAAAGU
Molecule: long non-coding RNA, 797 nt
Organism: Homo sapiens (human)
Lineage: Eukaryota; Metazoa; Chordata; Mammalia; Primates; Hominidae
Gene: ADAMTS9-AS1
Product: ADAMTS9 antisense RNA 1
Source: Ensembl